UACGUAGGAUGCAAGCGUUAUCCGGAAUCACUGGGUUUAAAGGGUCUGUAGGCGGGGCAUUAAGUCAGUGGUGAAAUUACAGGGCUCAACUCUGUAGCUGCCAUUGAUACUGAUGUUCUUGAGUGAGGUUGAGGUACUAGGAAUGUGACAAGUAGCGGUGAAAUGCUUAGAUAUGUCACAGAAUAUCAAUUGCGAAGGCAAGGUACUAAGCCUAAACUGACGCUGAGGGACGAAAGCGUGGGAAGCAAACAGG
Molecule: ribosomal RNA, 253 nt
Filed under: uncultured bacterium
Lineage: Bacteria
Description: partial 16S ribosomal RNA
Rfam family: Bacterial small subunit ribosomal RNA
Source: RNAcentral